Cyprinus carpio (common carp) is the source of this 1837-nucleotide long non-coding RNA. NCBI's taxonomy places the organism in Eukaryota, Metazoa, Chordata, Actinopteri, Cypriniformes, Cyprinidae. The record is from Ensembl.
UUGGUUGAUUUUGGCUCAAUCAGAGCAGAUGGUGGUUCGACAUCGAGAUGUCGUUCUCGCCCAUAUGGAAGAGUUGGGGUUAAGAUUAAACGGNCACCCCGAACUUUCACAAAGUGUGUGGAUGCUGCGCUGGCUCCACUGCGACUCCAGGGCGACUCCAGGGCAUCCGCAUACUAAAUUAUAUCGACGAUUGGUUGAUUUUGGCUCAAUCAGAGCAGAUGGUGGUUCGACAUCGAGAUGUCGUUCUCGCCCAUAUGGAAAAGUUGGGGUUAAGAUUAAACGCCAAGAAAAGUGUACUUUCUCCAUUACAGAGGACCACUUAUCUGGGCGUGGUGUGGGAUUCGACCACGAUGCAGGCACGCCUGUCCCCUGCUCGUAUCGAGUCGAUCCUCACGUCAGUCAAGAGAGUCAGAGAAGGCCAGUCACUCACUGUCAAGCAGUUUCAGAAACUUUUGGGGUUAAUGGCAGCUGCGUCCAACGUGAUACCUCUUGGCCUGCUGUACAUGAGACCCCUACAGUGGUGGCUCAAGACCAAGGGGUUCUCCCCGAGGGGAAACCCACUUCGCAUGAUCAAGGUCACGCGGCGAUGCCUACGUGCCUUAGACAUGUGGAGGAAACCUUGGUUCUUGUCUCAGGGCCCGGUGCUGGGAGCUCCUUGUCGCCGCGUGACGCUAGCGACGGACGCGUCCCUCACCGGCUGGGGUGCGGUCAUGAGUGGCCACCCUGCCCGCGGUCUGUGGAGUGGUCGCCAUCUGACAUGGCAUAUCAACUGUCUAGAGUUGCUAGCAGUAUUUCGAGCAUUGAAUCAUUUUCUCCCAGACCUAAGAGGUCACCAUGUGUUAGUGCGCACCGACAACACAGCGGUGGUCUCUUAUAUCAACCAUCAAGGAGGCCUGCGCUCGCGACCCCUGUACCAGCUGGCACGCCAGAUCCUUGUGUGGUCCCAGGGCAAACUCCUUUCGCUGAGAGCAGUACAUAUUCCUGGGCAUAUGAAUAUGGGAGCAGACAUCCUGUCGAGGCAGGGGCCGAGGCCCGGGGAAUGGAGGCUUCACCCCGAGGUGGUGAAGCAGAUAUGGACUAUAUUUGGUCAGGCUCAGGUGGAUCUGUUUGCGACUCAGAUGACAUCGCACUGUCCCCUUUGGUUCUCUCUAGUUCGUCCAGCUCCUCUGGGACUGGAUGCUAUGGUACAGACGUGGCCGAGGCUUCGUCUGUACGCUUUUCCCCCGAUCGCUCUGCUCCCGGGAGUUCUGGCGAGAGUACGCCAGGACGGGGUCCGUCUUCUAUUAGUAGCCCCGUUCUGGCCGGGCCGAGUAUGGUUCUCAGAUCUGAUCUCGCUCCUCGACGGCUCUCCAUGGGAGAUUCCCAUCAGGAGGGAUCUCCUCUCACAGGCGGAGGGCACGAUAUUCCACCCCCGCCCGGAGCUGUGGAAGUUAUGGGUGUGGCCCCUGAGGGGGCACAUCUCGUAGCUUCUGGUCUCUCAACCGAGGUUGUUGAGACCAUCCUCCAAUCCAGAGCUCCCUCAACGAGGAAACUGUAUGCCUUGAAGUGGAAACUUUUCACUUCUUGGUGCGGAGAUCGCCAAAUUGACCCAGUCAACUGCCCAGUCGGUACAGUGCUUGAGUUCCUGCAGGCCCGUUUCUCCGCAGGGUUGACUCACUCCACCCUGAAGGUCUACGUGGCGGCCAUUGCGGCCUACCACGCCCUUCUCGAUGGUCAGUCUUUGGGAAGACACCCAUUAGUUACACGUUUCCUCCGCGGUGCGCUGAGGCUGAAGCCUCCGAUAAGUUCUCNNNNNNNNNNNNNNNNNNNNNNNNNNNNNNNNNNNNNNNNNNNNNNN